Molecule: ribosomal RNA, 446 nt
Filed under: uncultured organism
Description: partial 16S ribosomal RNA
Rfam family: Bacterial small subunit ribosomal RNA
Source: RNAcentral
CACUCCUGCGGGAGGCAGCAGUGGGGAAUAUUGGACAAUGGGCGCAAGCCUGAUCCAGCCAUGCCGCGUGAGUGAUGAAGGCCCUAGGGUUGUAAAGCUCUUUCACCGGUGAAGAUAAUGACGGUAACCGGAGAAGAAGCCCCGGCUAACUUCGUGCCAGCAGCCGCGGUAAUACGAAGGGGGCUAGCGUUGUUCGGAUUUACUGGGCGUAAAGCGCACGUAGGCGGACUAUUAAGUCAGGGGUGAAAUCCCGGGGCUCAACCCCGGAACUGCCUUUGAUACUGGUAGUCUUGAGUUCGAGAGAGGUGAGUGGAAUUCCGAGUGUAGAGGUGAAAUUCGUAGAUAUUCGGAGGAACACCAGUGGCGAAGGCGGCUCACUGGCUCGAUACUGACGCUGAGGUGCGAAAGCGUGGGGAGCAAACAGGAUUAGAAACCCGUGUAGUCCC